Molecule: ribosomal RNA, 253 nt
Filed under: uncultured bacterium
Lineage: Bacteria
Description: partial 16S ribosomal RNA
Rfam family: Bacterial small subunit ribosomal RNA
Source: RNAcentral
UACGUAGGGUGCGAGCGUUAAUCGGAAUUACUGGGCGUAAAGCGUGCGCAGGCGGUUUUGUAAGUCUGACGUGAAAUCCCCGGGCUCAACCUGGGAAUGGCGUUGGAGACUGCAAGGCUGGAAUCUGGCAGAGGGGGGUAGAAUUCCACGUGUAGCAGUGAAAUGCGUAGAGAUGUGGAGGAACACCGGUGGCGAAGGCGGCGACCUGGGUCGAGACUGACGCUGAGGCGCGAAAGCGUGGGGAGCAAAAGGG